GACAGAGGGGGCAAGCGUUGCUCGGAAUCACUGGGCGUAAAGGGCGCGUAGGCGGGAUGGCAAGUCGGUCGUGAAAUCCUUCGGCUCAACCGAAGAACGUCGGCCGAUACUGCCGUUCUUGAGGGAUGCAGAGGAGAUUGGAAUUCCCGGUGUAGCGGUGAAAUGUGUAGAGAUCGGGAGGAACACCGGUGGCGAAGGCGAGUCUCUGGACAGUUACCGACGCUGAGGCACGAAGGUCAGGGGAGCAAACGGG
RNAcentral lists this ribosomal RNA (253 nucleotides) under uncultured bacterium. RNAcentral describes it as "partial 16S ribosomal RNA". It matches the Rfam family "Bacterial small subunit ribosomal RNA", at positions 524 to 776 of the family's 1533-position model. The record is from RNAcentral.